GUGCUUGCUACGGCGGCACAUAUACUAAAAUUGGAUCGAUACAGAGAAGAUUAGCAUGGCCCCUGCGAAAAGGA
Molecule: small nuclear RNA, 74 nt
Organism: Cyprinus carpio carpio
Lineage: Eukaryota; Metazoa; Chordata; Actinopteri; Cypriniformes; Cyprinidae
Source: Ensembl